This 408-nucleotide ribosomal RNA is filed under the name uncultured bacterium. RNAcentral's name for it is "bacterial SSU rRNA". It matches the Rfam family "Bacterial small subunit ribosomal RNA", at positions 29 to 481 of the family's 1533-position model. The record is from RNAcentral.
AGCGAACGCUGGCGGCAGGCUUAACACAUGCAAGUCGAGCGGGCGUAGCAAUACGUCAGCGGCAGACGGGUGAGUAACGCGUGGGAACAUACCUUUUGGUUCGGAACAACACAGGGAAACUUGUGCUAAUACCGGAUAAGCCCUUACGGGGAAAGAUUUAUCGCCGAAAGAUUGGCCCGCGUCUGAUUAGCUAGUUGGUGAGGUAAUGGCUCACCAAGGCGACGAUCAGUAGCUGGUCUGAGAGGAUGAUCAGCCACAUUGGGACUGAGACACGGCCCAAACUCCUACGGGAGGCAGCAGUGGGGAAUAUUGGACAAUGGGCGCAAGCCUGAUCCAGCCAUGCCGCGUGAGUGAUGAAGGCCCUAGGGUGUAAAGCUCUUUUGUGCGGGAAGAUAAUGACGGUACCGC